RNAcentral lists this ribosomal RNA (1184 nucleotides) under uncultured bacterium. Its description in RNAcentral is "bacterial SSU rRNA". It matches the Rfam family "Bacterial small subunit ribosomal RNA", at positions 288 to 1465 of the family's 1533-position model. The record is from RNAcentral.
UGGUCUGAGAGGACGACCAGCCACACUGGGACUGAGACACGGCCCAGACUCCUACGGGAGGCAGCAGUGGGGAAUUUUGGACAAUGGACGCAAGUCUGAUCCAGCCAUGCCGCGUGCGGGAAGAAGGCCUUCGGGUUGUAAACCGCUUUUGUCAGGGAAGAAAAGGCUCCUGUUAAUACCGGGGGCUCAUGACGGUACCUGAAGAAUAAGCACCGGCUAACUACGUGCCAGCAGCCGCGGUAAUACGUAGGGUGCAAGCGUUAAUCGGAAUUACUGGGCGUAAAGCGUGCGCAGGCGGUUGUGCAAGACAGGUGUGAAAUCCCCGGGCUUAACCUGGGAACUGCACUUGUGACUGCACGGCUAGAGUACGGCAGAGGGGGAUGGAAUUCCACGUGUAGCAGUGAAAUGCGUAGAUAUGUGGAGGAACACCGAUGGCGAAGGCAAUCCCCUGGGCCUGUACUGACGCUCAUGCACGAAAGCGUGGGGAGCAAACAGGAUUAGAUACCCUGGUAGUCCACGCCCUAAACGAUGUCAACUGGUUGUUGGGAGGGUUUCUUCUCAGUAACGUAGCUAACGCGUGAAGUUGACCGCCUGGGGAGUACGGGCCGCAAGGUUGAACUCAAAGGGAUUUGACGGGGACCCGCACAAGCGGUGGAUUGAUUGUGGUUUUUAUUCGAUGCUACGCGAAAAACCUUACCUACCCUUGACAUGCCAGGAAUCCUGCAGAGAUGUGGGAGUGCUCGAAAGAGAACCUGGACACAGGUGCUGCAUGGCCGUCGUCAGCUCGUGUCGUGAGAUGUUGGGUUAAGUCCCGCAACGAGCGCAACCCUUGUCAUUAGUUGCUACGAAAGGGCACUCUAAUGAGACUGCCGGUGACAAACCGGAGGAAGGUGGGGAUGACGUCAGGUCAUCAUGGCCCUUAUGGGUAGGGCUACACACGUCAUACAAUGGCCGGGACAGAGGGCUGCCAACCCGCGAGGGGGAGCUAAUCCCAGAAACCCGGUCGUAGUCCGGAUCGCAGUCUGCAACUCGACUGCGUGAAGUCGGAAUCGCUAGUAAUCGCGGAUCAGCUUGCCGCGGUGAAUACGUUCCCGGGUCUUGUACACACCGCCCGUCACACCAUGGGAGCGGGUUCUGCCAGAAGUAGUUAGCCUAACCGUCAAGGAGGGCGAUUACCACGGCAG